CGGGGCGUAGUUCAGUUGGCAGAACGCUCGGUUUGGGACCGAGAGGUCGCGAGUUCGAGUCUCACCGCCCCGA
This 73-nucleotide transfer RNA is filed under the name Candidatus Dojkabacteria bacterium CG_4_10_14_3_um_filter_Dojkabacteria_WS6_41_9. RNAcentral describes it as "tRNA-Pro". It matches the Rfam family "tRNA". Rfam says of the family: Transfer RNA (tRNA) molecules are approximately 80 nucleotides in length. Their secondary structure includes four short double-helical elements and three loops (D, anti-codon, and T loops). The record is from RNAcentral. RNAcentral also lists the same sequence under 1 other name.